CAGUGGGAUUAAGUUUAGUGUCACUAGGCAUUCGAAUGUGGAGGCAGUUACUAACAGAGGAAGAGAAUGCAAAUCAGUCAAGAGAGCCAGCUGCUUUCCAGAAUAGGAGACAGGGUUCCUUAAUAUCACUUAACUUUCCUAGGUUGUUGAACCUGGAACUCAAAAAGUCUUCAAUAUGUCUUGAAUUAUCCUAUCUGAAAAUUCUUGUCCUUUAGAAUUGAGAGUUUAAGGUCAUCUAGCUGAAUAUCUUGAUACACUACCUACUUAGAUCUUUGAAACCCAAAAAAGCUGGGCUUCAACACAUUGCAUGUUCUGGUCUCAGGUACCUGAGCUGGUCGUUUAAUGGGUCUGGACCCAGUUUCUUCUCUCAUUCCCCUCUUCAUCCCAGCCCUGUCUAAGCAUCUUUCCUAGUAUCAUAGUUGCCUGUGUUUCUAGUUCUGAUAAGCCUUUAUUCAGAUUUGUUAAUGAAAACAGUAAACUUUGCUGUUACUGUUUUCCUUUUGCAGAAGCAUCCUUGAGUCAAGGGUGACUCAAAAAGCUCACAGUUACUUCUGUAAGAAGAGACCAGAAAAAUCAAUCCAUUCCUUCUUAGAGAAGUAACACUUGUGUGCAGUCACCUACAGUGUGAGCAAGGAAACAUUUUUUUUAUGAGAAAAACAUUAAUGGUUAAAAAGGGUGGGAGUGGGAGAGCUCCAGAUGAGUAAAGAGGGUGGAAGCAACUCCAGAGGUGACAGAUUCUGUCAAUUAAAAUCUCUUUUAUCAGAGUUCCCAUUAUGGUGCAGUGGUUAACGAAUCCGACUAGGAACAGUGAGGUUGCAGGUUCGAACCCUGCCCUUGCUCAGUGGGUUGAGGAUCCGGUGUUGCCGAGAGCUGUGGUGUAGGUUGCAGAGGUGGCUCAGAUCCCGUGUUGCUGUGGCUCUGGCGUAGGCCGGUGGCUACAGCUCCCAUUAGACCCCUAGCCUGGGCACCUCCAUAUGCCAUGGGAGCAGCCCAAGGAAAGGCAAAAAGACAAAAAACAAAAAACUCUCUUAUCAAGAUAGUUUAGCCAAAAUUUGAAAGCAAAAAUUGUGUUUUUUGCUUUUUCCUUCCAUAAACUUAUUUUUAAACCAUUUCUACUGUAGUAUAUUAUACACAUACAAAAAAACGCAUGAGGUAUACGUUUAGUUUAACAAAUUAUUAUAAAGAAGUCACAUGUAACUACCUUCUCAAACUAGCAUCCCCAGAACAUUGCCAGCACCCCAAAGGCCUCUCUCUACUAGUUUCUACACGUUAUGACCAUUUCCCUCCCCUUCCCCCCUUUUUUGACUUUUAUGGCACUUGUUACCUUGUUCUACUUCAUAAUUUUAUCCCCUACAUGUGAAUCUUUAAACCCUAUACUAGUCUAUGUUCAAAGUUUAAAUGAAUUGAAUCAUACAACAUAUGUUCUUUGUGUCUGGCUUCCUAAGCACAAUAUCCAUCCGUGUUGCUGUGUGUAACUGGGUUCAUUACUUCUCACCACGUUAUGGCAUUCCAUCGGGCAGCUAUACCCCAAUCCUGUGUCCAUUCUCCUGUUAAUAGACUUCUGGGUUGUUUGCAAUUUAGGGUGAUCACAAAUAAUGCUGUCAUGAACAUUUCUUAUACAUUUCUUCUAAUACUUAUGUGCACACCUCUUUCCUGGGCAUAAAUCUAGGAAUAGAAUUUCUGGGUCAUAGAAUAUGAAAAUAUUUCAACUCAGUAAAUAAUGCCAGUGGUUUUCCAAAGCACCUGUCCAAUUUACACUCUCACCGACAGUACACAGCAGUGUUCUCUUGACUUAUAAGAGAGGAAAGAAGGCUUUUUGAUAUGUUAGCAUAUAUUUAACUACAUGAAAUCCAUACAUUUGACAGUUGCAAAAACAGAGUUUCAUGCACUAAGUUCCUAUAAAUGGUAUGAGUGGUGUGCUCAGUAAGUGCUUUUGCUCUGGGCUCUGACAGACCUGAGUUGAGAUGUUGGUUCUGCCCUCUGUUCUCUGUGUCAUAUUAGGCAAAGCAUUUAACAUUUCUGAAUGUUUUCUUGUUUGUAAAACAGAGAGGAAAAUAGCAUUUAAAAGUUGUUGUAGUGUUGAUUUAACGUGAUAACAUAUUUAAGGUGUCUAGUAUAUUGUCUGGCCCAGAAAAAAGUUGAAUAUAGCAGUUACUAUUAUAGUACUACUGCUACUACUACUGCUAGUAGUAGUACUGUACUGCUAGUACUACUACCACUGUUAUUGGUACUCAGGAUGUACUUUCUAUUCAUAGCAGUGAGAAAGAUGAGGAAGCGGAAAGUUAGACUUUACCAUCUAUAUCUGUAUGUUUUCCAAUAAUGUCCAACCCAGUUUAAAAGGCAGGACUCAGUUUUGCCUCAGUGGCAUCAGCCAGACUAGCAGACCUUUGUCAAGAGAGGGCCUCUCAGGUCACUUUGGCAUUUCUACAUUUCUUGGCACCUCAGACAAAAUAGUAGGAACUCUGAGCUCUCUGCCACCUGGCUGGGCAGCUCAAGUACUCUGUUGCCCUCAUUCCAGGCUCAGCCACCUGGCGUGCUUCUGACUUCCGAGACCACAGCUGUGGUAGCAGCAUGGCAGCCACAUCCAGCUGGACCUCUGUUCACCAUCACAGUGGAAGGGAGCUGCCCAGAGCUGUUCUCAGAGGACUCUGGUGGCUGCCAGCCAGCAAUACUGAGAAACAGGAGUCAUAGAAUCCAGGAUACAGGGUGGAAAAUAUUGUGAAAUACCCUACAGUGAGUGAGGAGGAAGACUGCCAAUGCAAUUCGGCACCAAGGUUGAGUGAUCCCACAGCAGCUUUUCUCCAGCACCUGCUCCUUUUUUUUCCUUUUUCUAAGAUGCCCGGCAAGCAUCAGGAAGAUGUCACACUCUAGAAACAGGGCCCUGAUGCCCCUUUACAGGAAGCGCCCUUAGGAGUUCCUUGGGGCAGGGCCCUGGGCUGGACCUCCUAGAGGGAGGAGGAACUUGAUGCUACAUUCCUUGUUCUUUUGAGGUGGAACUUUCCCAUUCCUGACUUCAUUGUUUCAAAGAAGUGAUGUGCUGGGAAAGACUCAAGAGUCUGCUGGAUAGGGAACUUGAGUCUGGCCUCGUCAAAAAUCUGAUUCAGAGCACGUAUGCACACACACACACGUUAAAUGACUCUAAAUAGGUGGAAUGGAGUCUUGUGUUAAAGAACCUAUUUAAUACAUCUUGGAAUAAUUACUCUAGGCUAUUCUUUUCAUGCUGCAUGUCCUAUUUCUCCAUUCUAGUCAAUUCUGUCUGAAAUGCCCCUGUCUGGUGUUUCCCCUUAUUUUUAACUUUGAAUCUUGUUACCUUUAUUCCUUCGUUAUUGCAAAGAUCUCUCACUUCAAUUAGUCCUUGAUAGACCUGUCAGUUUAAUAUCACUUAUACAAUUCUUUUAUCAUUUUGUGAUGAAAAGCUUCAAAAGGCUCCCAUUUACUUAUGUGGUAAUAGAAAAAUUCUUCGCCCUGGUUUUAAGAUCUUUCACAUGCCAUCAUUUUAAAAAUUUUCAUUUCCACCUUUUCUCAGUGAGUUUCAGAUACAGUCCAAUUAGGGGACUCAUUGUCCCUGUAACAAGCUGCACCCUCUGUUCUUCCAUGGCUCCCCCUAUGACACCAUUCACUGUCUUUCCCUCUUCUUCUGUAAAGUUCAUUAUUGCCAAUAUGUGGGAUGUGGUUCUCUGGUGUCCCACAAUAUGACUAAGUAGUAGACCAAACUUUUGAAAUCUUAAUAUGUGAAGUUUUAAUAAAUGUGUUUUAUAGAAUAAUCACAGUAUUACAUCACAUGUAUUACUUUGUGGGUAUCAUUGUCCGGGAUGGGCUAGAGCAGGUGGUGCUGCAGUAUCUCACUUUUACAUCCUGAAUGAUGAUAGGUAUUUCGCAUCAUCAUCACACACCCUUAGCCAGACUAGGAAGGGGCACAGUGUUCAAUUCAGUUCAUCGAGAAGAAGUCUCCCAGGAACGUGGAGAAAGAAUUUCCUCACUCUGAAGAGGAAACCGAAAGAAGGGAUGGCCUCUCCCUGCUUCUCUUUCUGAAUGUAGAGCCUUAGAUAGGAAGACUGAAACUGCUGUGGUUACUUUGGUACCAUAAAGGCAGGCAGCUGGAGGACAAAUUCAGCCCUUAUCGUGAGGUCAGAGUUGAGAGAAGUUCAGAGAGAUCUUCAUUAAGCAUUAAGCUGGUUCUGCGUGGACCUUCAGUUACAUGAGCCAGUGCGUUUCCUACCAGUCAAGCCAGUUUGAGUUGGUGUCUCCACCACUUCUGUCCACAGCACCACUAUUGAUUCAGUAUGGAUGAUACAGGUUGCUCGUUCAGAUGCAUGCUUUCUCAAUGUUUUUGACCUGAUGGCCAUAAUAGAAAAAUGGCAAAUCCAAAACAUCCUGGGGUAAAUGGAUAAUACUGCUUGUACUCUGAGGGAAGGGGCCCCAGGGCCUUUGGCAACAUCAGCUCCACAGAGAGCUAAGGGAUUGCUGUCUUGGGAUCUUGUGAUCCAUAUGUGGUGAGUAUGAUAGAUAAUUCAGCAGUUGGGAGGCUCUGCAGUAGAUGAUUUGUGUCUGUGGUUCUUUCUUUCCAGAAAUGUGUGGAAGUUUCACUUCUGGAAGCUGUUGUUCAUUUAGCAAGUAAAAUAUAAAUAUGAGAAUUUUACUUUGUUUUUCUCUUGUAUUGGGCCCAUUAGGGAGCACUGGUUAAAAAUGAGAGUUCUCCAGUGUAAAGGUGAGCCCAUAUUGGAAACCUAAGUUCUAGUUGUGACUGGGGUUUGAAUGAUUGCACUGGAAGCUAAAUCUACUGACCACUGUGCUCUGGCAAGCUUUAUGGAAGGGUAACGACACACUAAAACAAUUUCUGUUUUGUUCUGAAAUUCUUGUGCUUUCAGAUAGGAAGGUCCUGAGCAUCUAUUGCAAAUCAGUUCUCUCACAGCUCUACAUUCUGCCUCCACAAAAUAAUGAAAAAAUAUAUGUUUUGGGUAAGUCAUCAACUUCAUUUUUUAAUAGGCUCUGGUCAAAAAAAAAGAUGAAGAAUUGGAUGAAUGAGAAAUUUAUCAUUUUUCCCAUAAUUCACUCCAAAAAAUAGAUAUGGUCUCAAAUAGCUGUGAAUGAAUUCAGCAUUUCUGGGGAGUAUAAUAUUUAAAGAAACCCCAUUUAUCACAUUACUUAAAAAAGCAAAGAUAGAGUUCUCAUUGUGGUGCAGUGGGUUAAGAAUCUGACUGCAGUGGCUUGGGUUGCCGUAGAGCUGCAGGUUCGAAUCCUGGCUUGGCACAGUGGGUUAAAGGAUCUGGCAUUGCUGCAGCUAUAGCUUAGGUCGCAGCUGCAGCUUGGAUUCAGUCCCUGGCCUGGAAACUUGUAUAUACUGUGGGUAUGGCCAUAAAUUUUUAAAAAAAUAACUAAGAUGAGUAGAUAAAUAAAAUGUGAUCUAUACAUAACAAUUGAAUAUUACUCAGCCUUAAAAAAGAAGAAAAUCCUGCCCUAUGUGACAACAUGGAUGAACCGGGGACAUUAUGCUAAGUGUAAUAGGCAAGUCUCAGAAGGACAAAUGCUAACUGAUUCCAUUUAUAGGAGUUAUUUACAGUGGUCAAAACACAUAGAACAGAUAAUACAAUGAUAUAUUCCAGCAGCUGAGAUGGGGGGGAAAUGAGAUGUUGCUGUUCACAGGGGAUAGAUGAAUAAGUUCUGGAGCUCUGCUGUAGAACACGCUACCCAGAUUACAACACUGUAUGUGUGUUCAGCAACCUGCUGAAAGGACAGAGCUCAUAUUAAGUGUUCUUACCACAAAACACAAACAAAGGGGUAGAAGGAAACUUUUGGAGGUAAUAUAUAUGUCUAUAUUGAAUGUGAAGGUGGUUUCACAAGUGAAUGCAUCUCUCCAAACUCAUCACAUUGUUUGAAAGAGGUCCAAAAAAGUUUUUGUAUAUCAAAUAUUCCUUGAUAAAGUUGUAUCUUUAUUUAUUGAACUAUGAUUGAUUUACAAUAUUGUGUUAAUUUCUACUGUACAGCAAAAUGAUUCAAAUAUAUAAAUACACACACACACACACACUCUCUCUCUCUCUCUCUUUCUAAAAUAUUUUUUCCGUUAUGGUUUAUCACAGGACAUUGAAUAUAAUUUUCUGUGUUGUGCAGUAGGAUUUUGUUGUUUAUCCCCUCCAUGUGUAAUAUCUUACAUCUUCUCACCCCAACCUCCCACUCCAUCACUCCCGCAACCCCCAACCCCUUGGAAACCGUAAAUCUGUUCUUGUUUGUGAGUCCGUUUCUGUUUCAUAGAUAGGUUCAUUUGUAUCAUAUUUUAGAUUCCACGUAUAAGUGCUGUGAUAUAUGGUAUACUCCUUUCUGACUUACUUCACUUAGUAUGAUAAUCUCUGGUUGCAUCCAUUUUGCUAUGAAUGGCAUUAUUUCAUUCUUUUUUGUGGCUGAGUAUUAUUUCAUUGUGUACAUGUACUGCGUCUUCUGUAUCCUUUCGUCUGUUGGUGGACAUGUAGGUUGUUUCUCUGUCUUGGCUGCUGUGAAUAGUCCUGAUGUGAACAUAGGAGUGCAUGUAUCUUGUUGAAUUAUGCUUUUGUCUGGGUAUGUGCCCAAGAGUGGGAUUUCUGGAUCAUGUAGUAACUCUGUCCUUAGUUUUCUAAGUAACAUUUAUACUAUUUUCCACAGUGGCUAUACCGGCAUACAUUCCCACCAACAAUGUAAGAGGGUUCCCUUUUCUCUACAUCUCUCCAGCAUUUGUUAUUUGUAUACUUUUUAAUGAUAGCCAUUUUGACCAGUGUGAAGCAGUACCUCAUUGUAAUUUGCAUUUACAUUUCUCUAAUAAUUAGCAAUGUUGAGCAUUUUUUCAUGUGCUUAUUGGCCAUUUGUGUUUCUUCUUUGGAGAAUUGUCUAUUUAGGUCUUAUGCCUAUUUUUUGAAUGGGCUGUUUGUUCUUUGUUGUUGAGUUAUAUGAGCUGUAUUUUGAAAAUUAAGCCUUGUCAGUCACAUGAAUUGUAAGUAUUUUCUUCCAUUCUGUAUGUUUCUUUUUGAGUUUUUUAUGGUUUCCUUUGCUGUGCAAAAGCUUGUAAAUUUGAUUAGAUCCCAUUUGUUUAUUUUUGUCUUUAUUUCUAUUGCCUUAGGAGACUGACCUAAGAAAACAUUGGUACAAUUUAUGUCAGAGAAUGUUUUGCCUAUGAUCUCUUCUAGGAGUUUUAUGGUAUCAUGUCUUAUGUUUAAUAAAGUUGUUUUUUAAAAAAGAGAAAUCAUUUUUUUUGGUGGGGUUGUGCCUUUGGUAUAUGAAGUUCCAGGGCCAGUGAUCAAGCCCCUGCCACAUCUGUGACCUGAUGUGACCUGAGCCACAGCAGAGACAAUGCCAGAUCCUUAACCUGCUAUGCUACAAGAGAAUUCCUGAGAAACCCCUUUUUGAGUCUUUUUUACAUAAGACAAAUUUUGGAAUAUAUAUGAUUGCUUUUUAUAAAUGAUAGAAAUUUUAGAGUGAGCUUGUUUUGUAUGUAGUUAACAUAAAGAAAAGUCUGAUUGUAACAGGUCAAGGCUCUUAAGGGAAAAAUGCUUUAUUAUUAAUGAUAAAUAAAUAUAGUUGCUAUGACAAAUAACAGUGAAUUCCUGGAGACUUUACACAGUUCAGUUUAUUUCUGUCUUGUGUCACUGUCUCAUGCCUGUUGGAGAGAGUUGAUCAUUUAGGGACCCAGCACCACCCUCCUCUGAUCCGAGAAGUCCUUGCCAGUGCACCAGCCAAUGAAGAGGGAGAGAGACACACUUGGGAAGUAAGCGCUGGAUUGAAAAUGGCACAGGUCACUUCCACUCAUUUUCUAUUUCCCAGACUUAGUCUUAGGACCAGAUUAGCUUCAUGCCAAGCUUUAUGCCGAGGAAGUAAGAAGCUCACACAUUUUGGGGAGGACCCACUUUCUUAUAAUUCUGAGUGAAAUGCAGCUACACAGUUAACCAAAUUAACAAACUCUAUCUACUCUGUCAAGGCACUGUGCCAGAGGAGCCGGAGCCCAGCAUGUCUUUUUACCAUGAGAAUGCUCUAGAAACCGCCAACAUUCUAUUUGUGAGUCCAUCCACAGAGUGACAGGAUUAUGGAAGCUUCCUCUGUGAAGAAUGAAGGCCUUGGAUAUGAUAUAGCCCUUGGGUACCUGGCCUGGGUCAUACCUUUGCAACAGCAGUAGAAGUUGUUAGGUGUCAGGCAUAAUAAACCUGAGGAAUAUGAGAACUGGUUUAUCUUUAGGAUAUGAAACAUUAUCCAAAUGUAUGUCUCUAGAGUUUUCCUAAGACUUCUCAGGAUAAUGAACUCUGAACAGUCUGCAUGUGCGCAGCUUGAAGCCUUCCCAAAUAAACCGUGGGUGUAUUUUUCUUUUAAAGUACUUAUUACUCAAAGAUGUGUUUCCUCCUGCUGCUUGAAAAUGGAAGUCCAAAGAAGAAAUGAGAAGAGUUUUGCAGUGAAAGGUCAAGUCAGGCAGCAAUUAUUGAUGAGGGAUAUGAGCUGUGAUAGUAUGAGAGCAUGUUUUACCAUUUUCUUACUUUAUGGAACAUAGUUGACGGCCUCAGAUGCUACUCUUUGAAAAUUGUCUUGGUUUUGCACUGAGGCCACCCUUCCCAUGAGCAGUUCUCUGCUUCCGACAGCCACCUGAUGGGUUUGUUGAAUUUCCCUUUGACCUCAUGAGUCUCAAGUGUUUCUGCACAACUUCCUCUCCAUCCCUCCCUCUCCUGGGGUCUGACUUGCAUCAGUCUGAUGGCUCUCUGAGCCCAGCCUAUCCUUAUCCUGGCUUCUUCCUCCUUGCCUUUUCCAUGGGUGUUUUCCUUAUAAAGUCCCUGCACAUCCUUCUUGGUAUCUUCUUUUUGGAAGACCCAGCCUGACCAAAAAAAAAAAAAAAAAAAA
RNAcentral lists this long non-coding RNA (8844 nucleotides) under Sus scrofa (pig). RNAcentral describes it as "lncRNA (ENSSSCG00005033590.1)". The record is from RNAcentral. Lineage: Eukaryota; Metazoa; Chordata; Mammalia; Artiodactyla; Suidae.